Molecule: ribosomal RNA, 301 nt
Filed under: uncultured bacterium
Lineage: Bacteria
Description: partial 16S ribosomal RNA
Rfam family: Bacterial small subunit ribosomal RNA
Source: RNAcentral
CAGCCGCCACGGUAAUACGAAGGGGGCUAGCGUUGUUCGGAUUUACUGGGCGUAAAGCGCACGUAGGCGGACUUUUAAGUCAGGGGUGAAAUCCCGGGGCUCAACCCCGGAACUGCCUUUGAUACUGGGAGUCUUGAGUUCGAGAGAGGUGAGUGGAAUUGCGAGUGUAGAGGUGAAAUUCGUAGAUAUUCGCAGGAACACCAGUGGCGAAGGCGGCUCACUGGCUCGAUACUGACGCUGAGGUGCGAAAGCGUGGGGAGCAAACAGGAUUAGAUACCCCUGUAGUCCCUGUCUCUUAUAC